RNAcentral lists this non-coding RNA (110 nucleotides) under bovine gut metagenome. Its description in RNAcentral is "FMN riboswitch (RFN element)". It matches the Rfam family "FMN riboswitch aptamer (RFN element)". From Rfam's summary of the family: The RFN element is a highly conserved domain that is found frequently in the 5'-untranslated regions of prokaryotic mRNAs that encode for flavin mononucleotide (FMN) biosynthesis and transport proteins. The record is from RNAcentral.
CUUCAGGGCGGGGUGAGAUUCCCCACCGGUGGUAACAGCCCACGAGCGCAUAUGCUGCAUGAUUCGGUGAAAUUCCGAAGCCGACGGUACAGUCCGGACGAAAGAAGACG